UUGACGAGCAUGUUUUUGUUGAAUACGAUCCAUCGGAUACAUAGGAACCUCCUCACAAAGGAUUCUAUGGACAGUCGAUGCAGGGAGGAGAGAACUCCCUGCAUCGGCGAUUUU
This 114-nucleotide unclassified non-coding RNA is filed under the name Escherichia coli. Lineage: Bacteria; Pseudomonadati; Pseudomonadota; Gammaproteobacteria; Enterobacterales; Enterobacteriaceae. The record is from RNAcentral.